This 283-nucleotide ribosomal RNA is filed under the name Escherichia coli. Its description in RNAcentral is "partial 16S ribosomal RNA". It matches the Rfam family "Bacterial small subunit ribosomal RNA", at positions 514 to 796 of the family's 1533-position model. The record is from RNAcentral. Lineage: Bacteria; Pseudomonadati; Pseudomonadota; Gammaproteobacteria; Enterobacterales; Enterobacteriaceae.
GCCGCGGUAAUACAGAGGGUGCAAGCGUUAAUCGGAAUUACUGGGCGUAAAGCGCGCGUAGGUGGUUCGUUAAGUUGGAUGUGAAAUCCCCGGGCUCAACCUGGGAACUGCAUUCAAAACUGUCGAGCUAGAGUAUGGUAGAGGGUGGUGGAAUUUCCUGUGUAGCGGUGAAAUGCGUAGAUAUAGGAAGGAACACCAGUGGCGAAGGCGACCACCUGGACUAAUACUGACACUGAGGUGCGAAAGCGUGGGGAGCAAACAGGAUUAGAUACCCCGGUAGUCC